ACGAAACUUACUAUAUUAUAAUCGGAGUUAAGUACGAUUCAUACCGGAAAAUGAGUUCAAAAGGUACGAAAAGAAAAUGUUACGGUUUAAUAUUACAUCACCAAAAGAAAACCCCAAAAUAUAUGGCAUCGUUCAUAGGUCCUCGUACAACUUCCAACAAAAUCCCGGGCAAGACCUCGAUCCGCUACUCGACCCAUCCCGGUUGAGAACUACUACUACCUGCAAUUAAAAGACAUCUAUAUGAGCUAUAAAGCUCAGUAAGAAAUCCGGGUAAUAUCGAACUUUGAAAAUACGUUAUACAUAACAUAUAAUAUUAUAUACCCAUUCUUACCCACGUUCCGUACCACAACACAAGACAAUCGGUCAAAUCACGUAA
This 376-nucleotide long non-coding RNA is filed under the name Erythranthe guttata (spotted monkey flower). Its description in RNAcentral is "long non-coding RNA (EGUT_LNC003222)". Lineage: Eukaryota; Viridiplantae; Streptophyta; Magnoliopsida; Lamiales; Phrymaceae. The record is from RNAcentral.